AGCCUUGUGCAGUGGCAAUAUCGCAAGCAAUGAAGUCACAACUGAGCUGUGAUUAUUGCUAGUUGAAAACUUUAACCAAUAACUCGCCCUCUGUGCAAGGUACCGCAAGGUUCUCUGUAACAGUGAGGCAAUUUUUUUCAGGUCCCAAAAGGAC
This 154-nucleotide small nuclear RNA is filed under the name Drosophila guanche. RNAcentral describes it as "U4 spliceosomal RNA". It matches the Rfam family "U4 spliceosomal RNA". From Rfam's summary of the family: U4 small nuclear RNA (U4 snRNA) is a component of the major U2-dependent spliceosome. The structure of U4 snRNA from yeast and human has been reported. U4 snRNA presents a k-turn RNA motif in the 5p-SL related to recognition of Snu13 protein. The record is from RNAcentral. Lineage: Eukaryota; Metazoa; Arthropoda; Insecta; Diptera; Drosophilidae.